AGAGUUUGAUCCUGGCUCAGGGUGAACGCUGGCGGCGCGCUUAAUGCAUGCAAGUCGAACGUGCUUUCGGGCAAGUGGCAGACGGCUGAGUAACGCGUGAGUAACGUGCCCUCCGGUGGGGUAUAGCCUCGGGAAACUGAGAGUAAUCCCGCAUACGAUCCGGUGGCUUUGGUUGCCGGAUGAAAGCCUAACGGCGCCGGAGGAGCGGCUCGCGUCCUAUCAGGUAGUUGGUGGGGUAAAGGCUCACCAAGCCUAUGACGGGUAGCUGGUCUUAGAGGACGAUCAGCCAGAGGGGGACUGAGACACGGCCCCCACUCCUACGGGAGGCAGCAGCAGGGAAUUUUGGGCAAUGGGCGAAAGCCUGACCCAGCGACGCCGCGUGGGGGAUGAAGGCCUUAGGGCUGUAAACCCCUUUUCCCGGGGAAGAGAAAGGACGGU
RNAcentral lists this ribosomal RNA (438 nucleotides) under uncultured bacterium. RNAcentral describes it as "bacterial SSU rRNA". It matches the Rfam family "Bacterial small subunit ribosomal RNA", at positions 8 to 476 of the family's 1533-position model. The record is from RNAcentral.